Long non-coding RNA from Thunnus maccoyii (southern bluefin tuna), 1305 nucleotides. RefSeq lists it as uncharacterized. The record is from RefSeq and is a predicted model, not a curated record. The transcript is spliced from 2 exons. Lineage: Eukaryota; Metazoa; Chordata; Actinopteri; Scombriformes; Scombridae.
CUUUAGUAAUGAAAAAGAAUUGAUAAGAGUAUUGAUAAAUACUCUUAUUUCUUUCUUCUGGUGUUUCGUUCAAUGAGGUCAACAGAGCAACAUAACUCAUCACUAUGACAACCAUCUCUACUGUUAUCAGAUCAUUUUAACACCUGCAGACACAAACAUGGUGAAAACUGUUGGUUACCUUUAGAUGCUGAAAAUAAUCUUUCAGUUAAUGGAUUCAAUAAUAAAUGACACUAAAGCCAACUGACCCAUCUCAUCAUUACCGUGAACAUUUGACCCUCGCAGGCCUCCGUCCAUCUACAUGCGGCUGAUAAUGGAAGUGAACUGGGAGGUCUGGUUCAGGUUAAGAAGGGAGGGCAGCAGCCUGAGAGGCGAAACCCGGGGCAAAGAAAGGCUGCAGACCAACGGCUGCUGUUCGUGAGGCUUCAUCACUGCGAGCGUCUGGAUUCUCACAGAGACGAUAAACUGAAACCGUCUUCACACUUCAGUCUGUGUGUUGAAGAUUUAUUGAUGAAAUGACACAAGGACAAACUUUAAAAACCUGCUGCUGUAUUACUGUCACUGAGGUCAAAGGUCACCACAUGUGAAAACAACAGAUAUGUUACAUAUCAACAUGUCAAUCAACACGUUUCCUGUUCCUGUCGUCACUUAUUGUUCCAUUAGUGUCGAUGUGUUUGCAGUCGUACGUUAAGACUCAUUUUCACUUUUUACUAAUUUUCACUUAGAAAUCCAGGAUUUGUUUGUUUGUUUGUUUGUUUAUAAUCCAACUUCUCCUGGAUUUCAGUUUCUUAAAUAAAUACCAAUAAUAAAUUUACAGGAUUUAUUGUGUCAGAAUAAAAACUGAAGAUAACGAGCCGUCGUAGCUUCGCUGCUUUUUAUUGUCCUGACGUUUCACACAAGACGUCACUGAGUUCAUAACGGUAACUCCAGGACUUUCCAGGUCAUUACAGGACUUUCAAGGUCUGUCUUAGAAGUCCAUCUUUACCUGAAAUUCUUCUGUCCUCCCACUGAAAAGCAACAGACGCAGAUAUGAAAACUCCUGCUGUUGGUACCUGGAAUCUCUCUCCAAAGUUCAAAAUAUUCCAGGACAUUCCAGGACUGUUUCAGUCUUUGUCGGGACAGAAGCUGAGUGAGUUUUAAAAAGCAGCUCAGAGAGAAAUGAGGCUGAAAAUGAAUUUGUAAAACAUGAAAAAACAGAAAAUGUGAGAGGAGAAUCUGCUGGUUAAUAAAAGUCGCUGUGAGCCGCAGAGAGCAGAAAACCUACUGAACCAAACAGUAAAAACAAACAAACAAACAAACAAACAAACA